This 76-nucleotide transfer RNA is filed under the name uncultured Chloroflexota bacterium. RNAcentral's name for it is "uncultured Chloroflexi bacterium tRNA-Thr-GGT". It matches the Rfam family "tRNA". Rfam says of the family: Transfer RNA (tRNA) molecules are approximately 80 nucleotides in length. Their secondary structure includes four short double-helical elements and three loops (D, anti-codon, and T loops). The record is from RNAcentral. Lineage: Bacteria; Bacillati; Chloroflexota.
GCCCACAUAGCUCAGUAGGUAGAGCACAGUCUUGGUAAGACUGAGGUCUCCGGUUCGAUCCCGGAUGUGGGCUCCA